AGAGUUUGAUCAUGGCUCAGGAUGAACGCUAGCGGCGUGCUUAAUGCAUGCAAGUCGAACGAGGUAUGAUUUCGGUAGUGGCGAACGGGUGAGUAAGACGUUGGUGACCUACCUUAGAGAGGGGAAUAACCAGUGGAAACGCUGGCUAACACCCCGGACGUUGCGCUGGUUAGAGAGGUGCAACUAAAACCCCGGUGCUCUAAGAGGGGCCAGCGGCCCAUCAGCUAGUUGGUGUGGUAACGGCAUACCAAGGCAAGACGGGUAGGGGGCGUGGGAGCGUGACCCCCCACACUGGUACUGAGAAACGGACCAGAUACCUACGGGUAGCAGCAGCAAGGAAUAUUGCCCAAUGGACGGAAGUCUGAGGCAGCAACGCCGCGUGAAGGACGAAGGCCUUCGGGUCGUAAACUUCUUUUCUGAGGGAAGAGAAGGGACGGUACCUCAGGAAUAAGCUUCGGCUAACUACGUGCAGCAGCCGCGGUAACGU
RNAcentral lists this ribosomal RNA (487 nucleotides) under uncultured bacterium. RNAcentral's name for it is "bacterial SSU rRNA". It matches the Rfam family "Bacterial small subunit ribosomal RNA", at positions 8 to 528 of the family's 1533-position model. The record is from RNAcentral.